ACAUGCAAGUCGAACGCCCUAGCAAUAGGUAGUGGCGCACGGGUGAGUAACAUGUGGGAAUAUGCCUUUUGGUACGGAACAACGUUUGGAAACGAACGCUAAUACCUUAUGGUCCCUCCGGGGUAAAGAUUUAUCGCCAAAAGAUUAGCCCGCACUAGAUUAGCUAGUUGGUAAGGUAAUGGCUUACCAAGGCGACGAUCUAUAGCUGUUCUGAGAGGAAGAUCAGCCACACUGGGACUGAGACACGGCCCAGACUCCUACGGGAGGCAGCAGUUAGGAAUAUUGGACAAUGGGCGCAAGCCUGAUCCAGCCAUGCCGCGUGAGUGAUGAAGGCCUUCGGGUUGUAAAGCUCUUUAGCCGACGAAUAUAAUGACUGUAGUCGGAGAAUAAGCCCCGGCUAACUUCGUGCCAGCAGCCGCGGUAAUACGAAGGGGGCGAGCGUUAUUCGGAAUCACUGGGCGUAAAGCGUGCGUAGGCUGUUUUGUAAGUCAGAAGUGAAAGCCCAGGGCUUAACCCUGGAAUUGCUUUUGAAACUACAAGACUCGAAUUCGGGAGAGGAUAGCGGAAUUGUCAGUGUAGCAGUGAAAUGCGUAGAUAUUGACAGGAACACCAGUGGCGCAAGCGGCUAUCUGGACCGACAUUGACGCUGAGGCACGAAAGCGUGGGGAGCAAACAGGAUUAGAUACCCUGGUAGUCCACGCCGUAAACGAUGUGAGUUUGUCGCUGGGAAGCUUAGCUUUUCGGUGACGUAGUUAACGCGU
Molecule: ribosomal RNA, 761 nt
Filed under: uncultured bacterium
Lineage: Bacteria
Description: bacterial SSU rRNA
Rfam family: Bacterial small subunit ribosomal RNA
Source: RNAcentral